UCAAGCGUUUAAGGGCGUGUAGUGGAUGCCUUGGCACUGAAAGCCGAUGAAGGACGUGAUAUACUGCGAUAAGUUUCGGGGAGCUGUAUGUAAGCUUUGAUCCGAAAAUUUCCGAAUGGGGAAACCCACCACUUUAUGUGGUACUUUAAACUGAAUACAUAGGUUUAAAGAGACAACCUGGAGAACUGAAACAUCUAAGUAACCAGAGGAAAAGAAAUCAAUUGAGAUUCCGUUAGUAGUGGCGAGCGAACGCGGAGUAGGCCAGUAGUUUUGUUAGAAAAAUUUGAAUAGUUUGGAAAUGCUAACCAUAGAGGGUGAUAGUCCCGUAUGAGUAAUGUCUAACAAAAUUCUUGAGUAAAGCGGGACACGAGAAAUCCUGCUCGAAUAUAGGGGGACCACCCUCUAAGCCUAAAUACUCUUCAGUGACCGAUAGUGAACUAGUACCGUGAGGGAAAGGUGAAAAGAACCCCUAUUAGGGGAGUGAAAUAGAACCUGAAACUGCAUGCCUACAAUCAGUCCGAGCCCUUUUUAGGGUGAGGGCGUACCUUUUGUAUAAUGGGUCAGUGACUUAAUUUAUUAAGCAAGCUUAAGCCAUCUAGGUGUAGGCGCAGCGAAAGCAAGUCUUAAUAGGGCGAUUAGUUUAAUGAAUUAGACCCGAAAACGAAUGAGCUUACCAUGAGCAGGUUGAAAGUUGGGUAACACCAACCGGAGGACCGAACCAGUUGACGUUGAAAAGUCUUUGGAUGACUUGUGGUAAGGGGUGAAAGGCCAACCAAAUUCGUAGAUAGCUGGUUUUCCGCGAAAACUAUUUAGGUAGUGCGUCGAAUAAAUAGAUGUUUAGAGGUAGAGCACUAAAUGGGCUAGGGGGAAGAGAUUCUUACCAAACCUAAUAAAACUCCGAAUGCUAGACAUUGUUCUUCGGCAGACAGACUGUGGGUGCUAAGGUCCAUGGUCGAGAGGGAAAGAGCCCAGACCACCAGAUAAGGUCCCAAAAUCAUGAUUAAGUGUGAAAGGAUGUGGAAAUUCCUUAACAGCCGGGAGGUUGGCUUAGAAGCAGCCAUCCUUUAAAGAUAGCGUAACAGCUCACCGGUCUAAUAGAGUUUCUGCGCCGAAGAUGUAACGGGGCUAAAAUCAUGUACCGAAUCUGUGGCUUUGCAAAGUUUUCGAACUUUGUAAGGGGUAGCGGAACGUUCUGUAAGCCUGCGAAGGGAUACCCGUGAGGGAUCCUGGAGGUAUCAGAAGUGCGAAUGCUGACAUAAGUAACGAUAAACGAAGUGAAAAACUUCGUCGCCGAAAAUCUAAGGGUUUCUAUGCAAGGUUAAUCCGCGUAGAGUUAGUCGGCACCUAAGGCGAGGGCGAAAGCCGUAGUCGAUGGAAACAAGGUUAAUAUUCCUUGACCUGAUGGUAGUGACGGAUUUCGUAAGUUGUGAGUUCUUAAUGGAUUGAACUUGCCGCGAAGAGGUCCCAAGAAAUAGCUCCAUCAUGAAGACCGUACCCGAAACCGACACAGGUAGAUUAAUAGAGUAUAUUUAGGCGCUUGAGAGAAUGAUGUUGAAGGAACUCGGCAAAAUGCUUCCGUAACUUCGGGAUAAGGAAGACCCUUUUGUAGGCAACUAUGGAAGGGUGGCACAAGCCAGGGAGAAGCGACUGUUUAUCAAAAACACAGGGCUCUGCUAACACGUAAGUGGAUGUAUAGGGUCUGACGCCUGCCCGGUGCUGGAAGGUUAAUGCGGUUGGUGCAAGCUAACUUCUGAAGCCCCAGUAAACGGCGGCCGUAACUAUAACGGUCCUAAGGUAGCGAAAUUCCUUGUCGGGUAAGUUCCGACCUGCAUGAAUGGCGUAACGAUUUCUCCGCUGUCUCCAACAUCAACUCAGUGAAAUUGAAUUCUCCGUGAAGAUGCGGAGUUCCCGUGGUUAGACGGAAAGACCCCGUGCACCUUUACUACAACUUUAUAUUGGUGUUAGGAAUGAUAUGUUUAGCAUAAGAG
Molecule: ribosomal RNA, 1988 nt
Filed under: marine metagenome
Description: bacterial LSU rRNA
Rfam family: Bacterial large subunit ribosomal RNA
Source: RNAcentral